This 4829-nucleotide ribosomal RNA is filed under the name Triticum aestivum (bread wheat). RNAcentral describes it as "partial small subunit ribosomal RNA". Lineage: Eukaryota; Viridiplantae; Streptophyta; Magnoliopsida; Poales; Poaceae. The record is from RNAcentral.
GGGAGUGAGACGAGCGGGGUAAGAGUAGGCGACGGUGUCGGAGCGGGUCGGCGGUGCCUCCGACGAAGUUAGAGAGCACUGCGGAGCCAGGUGUACGGGAAGGAAGGAGGGGAGGAGUGACGAGUGGAAGUGGCCACGACCACCUAGAGUGGCGCGCGCAAGAGCCGACACGGCCUCACCUGUGAAGUCGUGAGCGAGGCGCCGAUAUAACUCCUCUAGUUUAACUACCUAGCUCCCCCGUCCUGCGCCGCCGUCCCUACCUACACGGCCGCUACCACUGCGACGACCCCUAAGCUGCGGUUGUCCAGCGCAGCGCCGAGCUGCAAGGGCUGCCGACGGGUGCCGCGUGUCCAGCGGGCGCGGGGGCAGCCCGAGGAUCUGGCGGUGUUGCCGCCUUACCGGGGCGGAGGCAGCUGACCACAUUAAACCUGUCCUCGUUCACGCGGUUAGUUAAGACUACGCCACUCUACGUGUCCCUCUCCGGACGUAGCCGUUCCGAUCGUCCUCCGGCAGGAGACCUCCAGACGCGGUGCUGCGGCAUAGAAGUGGUUCCUCAAGCCUCCGCUACGUCGUCACCACUUCCGCUACCAACACGACCCACGUCCGUCCACGUCUGCCCCACUUAACUCAAGUCUAGGUACUUGUUUACUAACACUAAAACAUCGACGUCACCACGAUAAGAAAUAAUAAUGAACUGAACAUACGAAGACGCGAGUGAUACGGACGUUUGUCUUCGUGUGCUAAAACCUACAGGACUUCGCGUAUGUUAAAACCUACAGGACUUCGCGUAUGUGUGCCAAAACAAACUGAACCCACAACUUUGACGGGAAAACAGUAUUGUAACUAUGUCACACUACGGAUACCCUUCUUCACCACGAAACUCUCUUAUCCAAUGACUUCACGUCAGUGCACGUAACCGAAAGAGUACACCCAACCCGGAGUAUGAAAAGACACUUUCGUUAGUGUAAUCCUCAUUUGACAAGUACGCUACCGACAUACUCUACACUACGGACAUACUCUACGCUACUACAUACUCUACGCUACCGACAUAGUUUAUUAUGGAUAUAGAGCAGCCGCAGAGGAGCGGUCCUAGUCGGGGCCUAGGACCUGCACAAGUCGCGGCCUAGGACAUGCACAGGCUACCUCCCGCCGUUCACUUCGCGGAAACUACACGCUCCGGCCGCCGCUUCCCUACCUCGCCGCCGCCGCCGCUUGCUCCCGUCUAUCAGCACGCACGCUCACCAAGAGCGAGCUCCCGUCCUCUGGAGCGAGCAUGCUCGCCAGUUAACCAAAUCCAGAAAAAACGACCAAUUAAAAACAUCCAAAAAAAAAGCGACCAAUUAAAAGCAUCUAAAAAAAUGAAACAAGCAGAACCCACGCUAGCCUCCAAUUCGGGACCUCACGGACCCCCGCCCACCCCCGGAGCCAUGUUCCAUAAAAAGCCAAGAACCACCGAAUCACACUCCACCCUCCUCCAUAUUUUUUUUGGUACCCUCCACCCUCCUUUCUUUUGGACCUUCGCUCUGAUAGUUAACGAAGUAAUCCUCAUCUCUAUUUUCGGAAACGGUACGAAUGGAACGUUCAUAUAUACAACGACAAACUUUUGUCUUUCAAAUGGCAACGACGUUUUUAAGGGAUCUCUUCAAUCUUACACUAUUUUACAACCUUGAAAAACGUAUUAUUCGAAGCUAUUUAAAGAUGUCACACCAUCUUAAAAUAUUACAAACCUCUUUUUAUUCAUAACUAUGAGAACGUAAGAAAUAUCUGACAUGACAAAACCGUCUAACGACGAUACUAACGUAACGAACGUACUAUCCUCAUAAUUUAUACAUCUCUAUAAAUCAUACGUUACAACUUAUUAUUAAAAUCACUAAACGAUGGCAUCUCUUACUAUUCCAAAAAAACGUAAUCAAAUAUAAUUGAAUAGAGUGCUCAAGAACAACUCAAAACACACCUACUUCAAAAAGUCUAAAUCCUUUUGGCACUAUAUUCUUAAUUCCUCUGUGUUUUCGAGUUCGAACCCCUACGGGUUACGUAGAGUUCUAUUAUAAAGUUCUUCAGAGUUCGUAGAUUCGAAACCCUACAGGGCCGAAGGCUGAAAGUGGUACGGAGGGUUUCGAGGAUUUCGUGGGUAGUGAACGUUAACCUACUCCAGGUUGCAGUGGCUGCUCUGGAAUUGCCUAAAGUACUUCAGUCCAAUGGACGGAUUUUUCCUGCAGUACAGGAUGGCACGGGGACUGGGCAGUCUCCUCUCUGGUGUCGGUUUCCUGCCCCUCCAUCACUAAAAACGCCUAGUGUACUCGGCCCCGAAGCGUGGCGAGCCGAGUUUCAAGAAGUCUCUACAUGACUUAAAGAAGCUGGACGCCGGAGUUCUGUAUCCUGGGUUGAGCCACAGUUUGUAUACGUUAAAGGUUCACAAGACACUCCAGAUGGAACCUCUUCUUGGGUCGAACGACGAGAAGUCUCUCGAGAAGAUGGACUUGGCAGUCUUGCUCACACGGUUGCCCGGUUCGAACCUUGAACCACCGUAGAGAUAGGUCGCUGCCUCCCUGACGGAAAAGGGAAUGCGGCUCGGCGGUUCGGUGGGGUUUCUGACCUUGGUCUGUACCAAGAUAACGGUUCUGUGCAGCGGCCGACUACUCUCGGGCGACGGGCCGAAAGCGGGGAGCGCAGACCUUGGUUGUGUGGGAGGCAGUCUGUUCGAUUGAGUUCGCCUCGCGGUUGGAGAUGAGGGGUGGUAAUUGUUCUAGUUCCGAGAGGACCCGUUACCAGAGUUGCCUUAACUGGAAUAGGCCCAGGCCUAGAGCACCGCCCACUAGGGUAACUCGGCGGCGGGGCCGAAUUACACACUCAUGUGCCCGGCUUUCCUACUAGGGGACUCUGUGUCGGCGUUGCUAGAAGGACUUCUGCAACGACUCCUGUACUGGUUCCGAGAAAACUUGCUCUCGAACCGUCUGACGCCCUCCUGGCCCGAUCGGGGGAAGACGUUCUGGUUGGGUCGGGGUCGCCGACUACUGUUUAAGACCUUCCAGUUUAUACUGGUACUCCGCCGGUUCUUCCGGUCCUUUCGGUUCUUUCGGCGGUUCUCUCGGCGAGGGGCGUUCUUCCCUUCGUCCGGAUGACGAAGUCUCGAUGACGUUGAUUCGCUGUCGAGGCUCAGUCUCCUACUAUGGCCUCGUUCGUUGGACCACCAACUUCUCUGAGUACUUUCGGCCACCGUGUGGGCCUGGUUGUUCCUGCGACUGGAGAGGAGGCCAAAUGGACUGCGCAGCUCCUUUGCGGCCUGGCUCCUUUGAAGGGGGAGAAGACCGCUGAGAUACCUCAGCUUGGACGGCCGAAAGUUCUGGCACGGGCCACGGGUCCGUUUUGAGUCGUUUUCCCGCUUCUUCUUGUUCGGCCAGCUUCUCGGCCUGAACGGACUUGGCCUCCAUCGGCGAGUUCUUGGCGGUCGACGGAGACGAGGACUUCGGUGACGAGGUUGGCUGUUCGGUUAUCGUCUUCGAAGACGAUUGGGCCUCCGGAGGUCGAGCCGAGUUGGUCGUCUACUGGGUCUACACCAUUAGUGGGCCUGCCUUAAACAACUCGGCCCCUCUGGAUGACGCGACCGGUUCACGAGGCGAUUCCUCCUCGACAAUCCCGCGGUGGCCCGGUUGGACCUGGACAGGCUGAUACGGUUAGACUCGUAGCUUCUCUAGUAGAAGCCGAUAUAGUCGGUCCACGUGUUCUCGGCCCUAGAUCUCUAACGGUACCACUUGGUCUAAGUCGUCUUCACUCUCCGACGACCGUUCUUCAAACUUCGACUGUAGCGGCUAGAGUUCUGGGCAGACUUCUGCGUUCUUUGACUCUGGGCCUUUCGGUUACGGUUUAAGCACAGGUCAUAACGACGCGUUCUUUUCGACUUCUGCCUGAAACUGCGACUUGCCUUCCGAACCCGGCUUCUUUUCCGGCGAGACCACUUGGCCCGACUUGUCCGCCUCUUCCGAGACUGUCUCUUCUGGCGGCUUGAGAGGCCGAAUUUCGCGGUUCACAGGGUCUACCAACGGCGUUAGAAGCCAGGGUCUUCGCGGUUGGAGUUGGUUUCACACCACUGGUUCGACUUCCGGCACAUAUGGGACCACCUCGUUGAGAUGUGGCCCAGUGUCGCACGGAACCGCCACCACCGGGAUAGGUUACUCCACGGCUGAGUGGACCGCCUUCACGAAGCGGCCGAACGGCAAGAAGGGGUUACACAGGUUCUCGACGCCGCCCGGAGACGUUCUCGGCCUCGAUAGCGGCGAGACUCGGCCCGGUUCCGCAAGGAAGAUCUCAAUCUGGGCCGUCUGUAACGGGAGCCGAUAGGGUCAAACUUCCUUCUGCCGUGUGGGAAGCUGGUUUCCCUGAAGCGUCGGACGCACUUCUAGCACGCGGGCCACCGGUGGGAAUAACCUUUGCUGUGUCUGGACUGGUUCAUGGUCGGCCCAAUGUUACGUCUUUUAGUCUCCUAGGGGUGAGGCGUAAUACUUCGAUAGUCGAAUCAGGGCGGCCGAGCAUUCGUGUGAAAGCGGGGCCUCUAACUGGGCCGGCCCAAUUAACUGCUUCUCCGAGUUAAACUUCGGGACUCGCCGUAACUGACCUUCAGCAGUUGAAAGGUCCAGAACCCUUGUCGGCCUCCUCUCCUCUCCCUACUCGGCCUCUGAAGUUGAGUCGUUCGGAGCAUUGAGACGUCUGCCGAAUAAUUUGUUACGAAGUGGGGAAAACCUGAGCUACUCAGAACAUUAUCUCAUCCUGGUUGUGAAAUUGAAACGGCACGGUAGCACGUGCGCAACUUACGACUUCAGGUAAAUUUAACA